Molecule: ribosomal RNA, 506 nt
Filed under: uncultured bacterium
Lineage: Bacteria
Description: partial 16S ribosomal RNA
Rfam family: Bacterial small subunit ribosomal RNA
Source: RNAcentral
AGUGAACGCUGGCGGUAGGCCUAACACAUGCAAGUCGAACGGCAGCACAGGAGAGCUUGCUCUCUGGGUGGCGAGUGGCGGACGGGUGAGGAAUACAUCGGAAUCUACUCUGUCGUGGGGGAUAACGUAGGGACACUUACGCUAAUACCGCAUACGACCUACGGGUGAAAGCAGGGGACCUUCGGGCCUUGCGCGAUUGAAUGAGCCGAUGUCGGAUUAGCUAGUUGGCGGGGUAAAGGCCCACCACGGCGACGAUCCGUAGCUGGUCUGAGAGGAUCGACAGCCACCCUGGAGCUGGGAGACGGUCAAGACUCCUACGUGAGGCGUCAGUGUGGAAUUUUGGCCAAGGGGCGCAAGCCUGUUCCAACCAUACCGCGUGGGUGAAGAAGGCCUUCGGGUUGUAAAGCCCUUUUGUUGGGAAAGAAAUCCAGCUGGCUAAUACCCGGUUGGGAUGACGGUACCCAAAGAAUAAGCACCGGCUAACUUCGUGCCAGCAGCCGCCGUAA